RNAcentral lists this ribosomal RNA (95 nucleotides) under Aeromonas allosaccharophila. RNAcentral's name for it is "partial 16S ribosomal RNA". It matches the Rfam family "Bacterial small subunit ribosomal RNA", at positions 1 to 92 of the family's 1533-position model. The record is from RNAcentral. Lineage: Bacteria; Pseudomonadati; Pseudomonadota; Gammaproteobacteria; Aeromonadales; Aeromonadaceae.
ACUUAAAUUGAAGAGUUUGAUCAUGGCUCAGAUUGAACGCUGGCGGCAGGCCUAACACAUGCAAGUCGAGCGGCAGCGGGAAAGUAGCUUGCUAC